RNAcentral lists this ribosomal RNA (471 nucleotides) under uncultured bacterium. RNAcentral's name for it is "bacterial SSU rRNA". It matches the Rfam family "Bacterial small subunit ribosomal RNA", at positions 29 to 507 of the family's 1533-position model. The record is from RNAcentral.
AAUGAACGUUGGCGGCGUGGAUUAGGCAUGCAAGUCGUACGCACAGCUUCGGCUGUGAGUGGCGCAAGGGUGAGUAAUGCGAAGGUAACCAACCCUGGUGUUGGGCAUAACCGCGGGAAACUGCGGGUAAUUCCCAGCGACGUCGCGAGAUGGCAUCAUCUUGCGACCAAAGGUGUGAUUCCGCUCUAGGACGGGCCUUCGUGGUAUUAGGUAGUUGGUGAGGUAACGGCUCACCAAGCCGACGAUGCCUACCGGGUGUGAGAGCAUGACCCGGCACACUGGAACUGAGACACUGUCCAGACACCUACGGGUGGCUGCAGUCGAGAAUCUUCGGCAAUGGGCGAAAGCCUGACCGAGCGACGCCGCGUGAGGGAAGAAGGCCUUCGGUUGUAACCUCUUUCGUAGAGGAGGAAGGGCCGGUGCAGAGCGGUCUUUGACCUAUUCUAGGAAGAAGCUUGGGCUAAGUUCGUG